CAGUAGCAGGCAUACUGUCUAGGGGACGGCUGCUCUGCUUUUGCACCCUGCUCUAAGAGGAGGAGGUGGAUGUGGAGUAGGAGGUUGAGGAGGCAGUGACCGUGGCGGCGGCGACGCAUUCGGAUGUCUGCCCUAUCAACUUUCGAUGUUACUUUCUGCGCCUACCAUGGUGACAACGGGUAACGGGGAAUCAGGGUUCGAUUCCGGAGGGGGAGCCUGAGAAACGGCUACCACAUCCAAGGAAGGCAGCAGGCGCGCAAAUUACCCACUCCCGACACGGGGAGGUAGUGA
Pelobates cultripes (western spadefoot toad) is the source of this 291-nucleotide non-coding RNA. The record is from the annotation of a GenBank genome assembly. NCBI's taxonomy places the organism in Eukaryota, Metazoa, Chordata, Amphibia, Anura, Pelobatidae.